GACGAACGCUGGCGGCGUGCCUAAUACAUGCAAGUUGAGCGCUGAAGGUUGGUCCUUGUACCAACUGGAUGAGCAGCGAACGGGUGAGUAACGCGUGGGGAAUCUGCCUUUGAGCGGGGGACAACAUUUGGAAACGAAUGCUAAUACCGCAUAAAAACUUUAAACACAAGUUUUAAGUUUGAAAGAUGCAAUUGCAUCACUCAAAGAUGAUCCCGCGUUGUAUUAGCUAGUUGGUGAGGUAAAGGCUCACCAAGGCGAUGAUACAUAGCCGACCUGAGAGGGUGAUCGGCCACAUUGGGACUGAGACACGGCCCAAACUCCUUCGGGAGGCAGCAGGAGGGAAUCUUCGGCAAUGGGCGAAAGUCUGACCGGGCAACGCCGCGUGGGUGAAGAAGGGUUUCGGAUCGUAAAAAUCUGUUGGUAGGGAAGAACGUUGGUGAGAGUGGAAAGCUCAUCAAGUGACGGUAACUACCCAGAAAGGGACGGCUAACUACGUG
RNAcentral lists this ribosomal RNA (497 nucleotides) under uncultured bacterium. RNAcentral describes it as "partial 16S ribosomal RNA". It matches the Rfam family "Bacterial small subunit ribosomal RNA", at positions 28 to 507 of the family's 1533-position model. The record is from RNAcentral.